CAGUAGCCACGGUAAUAAAGAGGGUGCGAGCGUUAAUCGGAUUUACUGGGCGUAAAGCGUGCGUAGGCGGCUUCUUAAGUCGGAUGUGAAAUCCCUGAGCUUAACUUAGGAAUUGCAUUCGAUACUGGGAAGCUAGAGUGUGGGAGAGGAUGGUAGAAUUCCAGGUGUAGCGGUGAAAUGCGUAGAGAUCUGGAGGAAUACCGAUGGCGAAGGCAGCCAUCUGGCCUAACACUGACGCUGAGGUACGAAAGCAUGGGGAGCAAACAGGAUUAGAUACCCCUGUAGUCCCUGUCUCUUAUAC
RNAcentral lists this ribosomal RNA (301 nucleotides) under uncultured bacterium. RNAcentral describes it as "partial 16S ribosomal RNA". It matches the Rfam family "Bacterial small subunit ribosomal RNA", at positions 509 to 807 of the family's 1533-position model. The record is from RNAcentral.